This 457-nucleotide ribosomal RNA is filed under the name uncultured bacterium. RNAcentral describes it as "partial 16S ribosomal RNA". It matches the Rfam family "Bacterial small subunit ribosomal RNA", at positions 338 to 795 of the family's 1533-position model. The record is from RNAcentral.
CCUACGGGAGGCAGCAGUGAGGAAUAUUGGUCAAUGGGCGAGAGCCUGAACCAGCCAAGUCGCGUGAGGGAGUACUGCCCUAUGGGUUGUAAACCUCUUUUGUCGGGGAGCAAAAGCCGGACGUGUCCGGCUGUGAGAGUACCCGAAGAAAAAGCAUCGGCUAACUCCGUGCCAGCAGCCGCGGUAAUACGGAGGAUGCGAGCGUUAUCCGGAUUUAUUGGGUUUAAAGGGUGCGCAGGCGGAUUUUUAAGUCAGCGGUAAAAUCGUGGGGCUCAACCCCAUCCAGCCGUUGAAACUGGGGAUCUAGAGUGUGCGAGAGGUAUGCGGAAUGCGUGGUGUAGCGGUGAAAUGCAUAGAUAUCACGCAGAACCCCGAUUGCGAAGGCAGCAUACCGGUGCACAACUGACGCUCAGGCACGAAAGCGUGGGUAUCGAACAGGAUUAGAUACCCCAGAGUC